CUACGAGGACGAACGCUGGCGGUGUGCUUCACACAUGCAAGUCGAACGAGGUAGCAAUACCUAGUGGCGGACGGGUGAGUAACGCGUGGGAAUCUGCCUUUAGAUGGGGGAUAACGGGUCGAAAGACUCGCUAAUACCGCAUAUGACGAAAGUUGAAAGGAGUAAUCCGUCUAAAGAUGAGCCCGCGUCCGAUUAGCUAGUUGGUAGAGUAAAAGCCUACCAAGGCGACGAUCGGUAGCUGGUCUGAGAGGAUGAUCAGCCACAAUGGGACUGAGACACGGCCCAUACUCCUACGGGAGGCAGCAGUGGGGAAUUUUACGCAAUGGGCGAAAGCCUGACGUAGCGACACCGCGUGAGCGAAGAAGCCCCUUGGGGUGUAAGGCUCUGUCAGCUGGAACGAAAAAAUGACGGUACCAGCAGAGGAAGCAUCGGCUAACUACGUG
This 443-nucleotide ribosomal RNA is filed under the name uncultured bacterium. RNAcentral describes it as "bacterial SSU rRNA". It matches the Rfam family "Bacterial small subunit ribosomal RNA", at positions 26 to 507 of the family's 1533-position model. The record is from RNAcentral.